Molecule: ribosomal RNA, 254 nt
Filed under: uncultured bacterium
Lineage: Bacteria
Description: partial 16S ribosomal RNA
Rfam family: Bacterial small subunit ribosomal RNA
Source: RNAcentral
UACGUAGGGUGCGAGCGUUGUCCGGAAUUAUUGGGCGUAAAGAGCUCGUAGGCGGUUCGGCAAGUCGGAUGUGAAAUCUCCACGCUCAACGUGGAGGGGCCAUUCGAAACUGCCGUGACUCGAGUCCGGUAGGGGAGUGUGGAAUUCCUGGUGUAGCGGUGAAAUGCGCAGAUAUCAGGAAGAACACCCGUGGCGAAGGCGGCUCUCUGGGACGGUACUGACGCUGAGACGCGAAAGCGUGGGGAGCGAACAGG